ACCGAAUAGAUACCCGGGUAGUCCACGCCCUAAACGAUGCGAACUGGAUGUUGGGUACAUUACGGUACUCAGUGUCGAAAGCUAAACGCGUUAAGUUCGCCGCCUGGGGAGUACGGUCGCAAGACUGAAACUCAAAGGAAUUGACGGGGGUCCCGCACAAGCGGUGGAGUAUGUGGUUUAAUUCGAUGCAACGCGAAGAACCUUACCUGGCCUUGACAUCUGUCGAAUCCUGCAGAGAUGCGGGUAGUGCCGCAAGGAACGACAAGACAGGUGCUGCAUGGCUGUCGUCAGCUCGUGUCGUGAGAUGUUGGGUUAAACGUCCCGCAACGAGCGCAACCCGUUGUCCCUAGUUGCCAGCACGUAACUGGUGGGAACUCUAGGGUAGACUGCCGGUGACAAACCCGGGUAGGAACGGUGGGGUAUGACGUCAAGUCCUCAU
This 439-nucleotide ribosomal RNA is filed under the name uncultured bacterium. RNAcentral describes it as "bacterial SSU rRNA". It matches the Rfam family "Bacterial small subunit ribosomal RNA", at positions 772 to 1196 of the family's 1533-position model. The record is from RNAcentral.